GCAGCACGGAGCUUGCUCUGGUGGCGAGUGGCGAACGGGUGAGUAAUAUAUCGGAACGUACCCUGGAGUGGGGGAUAACGUAGCGAAAGUUACGCUAAUACCGCAUACGAUCUACGGAUGAAAGUGGGGGAUUCGCAAGAACCUCAUGCUCGCGGAGCGGCCGAUAUCUGAUUAGCUAGUUGGUAGGGUAAAAGCCUACCAAGGCAUCGAUCAGUAGCUGGUCUGAGAGGACGACCAGCCACACUGGAACUGAGACACGGUCCAGACUCCUACGGGAGGCAGCAGUGGGGAAUUUUGGACAAUGGGCGCAAGCCUGAUCCAGCAAUGCCGCGUGAGUGAAGAAGGCCUUCGGGUUGUAAAGCUCUUUUGUCAGGGAAGAAACGGUGGGAGCUAAUAUCUCCUGCUAAUGACGGUACCUGAAGAAUAAGCACCGGCUAACUACGUGCCAGCAGCCGCGGUAAUACGUAGGGUGCAAGCGUUAAUCGGAAUUACUGGGCGUAAAGCGUGCGCAGGCGGUUUUGUAAGUCUGAUGUGAAAUCCCCGGGCUCAACCUGGGAAUUGCAUUGGAGACUGCAAGGCUAGAAUCUGGCAGAGGGGGGUAGAAUUCCACGUGUAGCAGUGAAAUGCGUAGAUAUGUGGAGGAACACCGAUGGCGAAGGCAGCCCCCUGGGUCAAGAUUGACGCUCAUGCACGAAAGCGUGGGGAGCAAACAGGAUUAGAUACCCUGGUAGU
RNAcentral lists this ribosomal RNA (732 nucleotides) under uncultured bacterium. RNAcentral's name for it is "bacterial SSU rRNA". It matches the Rfam family "Bacterial small subunit ribosomal RNA", at positions 69 to 794 of the family's 1533-position model. The record is from RNAcentral.